UGACCUGGCGGCAGCUUACCAUGCNAGUCGUACGAUGAUUACAGCUUGCUGGUAUGAUUAGUGGCGAACGGGUGAGCAAUGCUUAGGAAUCUGCCUGGUAGUGGGGGACAACAUUCCGAAAGGAAUGCUAAUACCGCAUACGACCUACGGGUGAAAGGGGGCGCAAGCUCUCGCUAUCAGAUGAGCCUAAGUCGGAUUAGCUAGUUGGUGGGGUAAAGGCCUACCAAGGCGACGAUCUGUAGCCGGUCUUAGAGGAUGAUCAGCCACACUGGGACUGAGACACGGCCCAGACUCCUACGGGAGGCAGCAGUGGGGAAUAUUGGACAAUGGGCGAAAGCCUGAUCCAGCCAUGCCGCGUGUGUGAAGAAGGCCUUUUGGUUGUAAAGCACUUUAAGUGGGGAGGAAAAGCAACUGGUUAAUACCCAGUUGCCCUGACGUUACCCACAGAAUAAGCACCGGCUAACUCUGUGCCAGCAGCCGCGGUAAU
RNAcentral lists this ribosomal RNA (487 nucleotides) under uncultured bacterium. RNAcentral describes it as "bacterial SSU rRNA". It matches the Rfam family "Bacterial small subunit ribosomal RNA", at positions 36 to 524 of the family's 1533-position model. The record is from RNAcentral.